This 298-nucleotide long non-coding RNA is filed under the name Malus domestica (apple). RNAcentral describes it as "long non-coding RNA (MDOM_LNC009019)". Lineage: Eukaryota; Viridiplantae; Streptophyta; Magnoliopsida; Rosales; Rosaceae. The record is from RNAcentral.
AUUUGUCGCCGGCGCGGUUGCUGCCGUCGCAAGUGGAAUAUUGGCUCUCUUUAUGCUACCGUCUCCGCCACCCGAUCUUCCAUCGAACAAAAAUGCAAGAGCUCCUGUUGUUGCCUUCCAUUGAUUUGCUUGCCCUACCUCUUAACUUCUUAAGAAAAAAAAUCAAUACCGUAUGCAUCCAAGCGUAAGCAGGAUAUAUUUAGUCGCACUUUUUCUUCUUUUCUUGUAUUUAUUUCUGUCAAGGUUUUAUGUUCGUCAUAAAAGACGUCAAGGUUGAACCCCUAAAUCUUUAGCUUUG